Molecule: non-coding RNA, 24 nt
Filed under: Cricetulus griseus (Chinese hamster)
Lineage: Eukaryota; Metazoa; Chordata; Mammalia; Rodentia; Cricetidae
Source: RNAcentral
UCAGUUUCUAGGAAUUAGAGGAUG